AGACCCGAAACCCGGUGAUCUAGCCAUGGGCAGGUUGAAGGUUGGGUAACACUAACUGGAGGACCGAACCGACUAAUGUUGAAAAAUUAGCGGAUGACCUGUGGCUGGGGGUGAAAGGCCAAUCAAACCGGGAGAUAGCUGGUUCUCCCCGAAAGCUAUUUAGGUAGCGCCUCGUGAAUUCAUCUCCGGGGGUAGAGCACUGUUUCGGCUAGGGGGCCAUCCCGGCUUACCAACCCGAUGCAAACUGCGAAUACCGGAGAAUGUUAUCACGGGAGACACACGGCGGGUGCUAACGUCCGUCGUGAAGAGGGAAACAACCCAGACCGCCAGCUAAGGUCCCAAAGUCAUGGUUAAGUGGGAAACGAUGUGGGAAGGCCCAGACAGCCAGGAUGUUGGCUUAGAAGCAGCCAUCAUUUAAAGAAAGCGUAAUAGCUCACUGGUCGAGUCGGCCUGCGCGGAAGAUGUAACGGGGCUAAACCAUGCACCGAAGCUGCGGCAGCGAACGUAUCACCCAAGACAACUUUGCGGAGUUGACGAUUGACGGAGCGAAGCGACGUCAAAGCGUUCAUUAAAGUCGAGUUGGCUUAGGGAUACGUUCGUUGGGUAGGGGAGCGUUCUGUAAGCCUGUGAAGGUGUGUCGUGAGGCAUGCUGGAGGUAUCAGAAGUGCGAAUGCUGACAUAAGUAACGAUAAAGCGGGUGAAAAGCCCGCU
This 711-nucleotide ribosomal RNA is filed under the name Salmonella enterica. RNAcentral describes it as "partial 23S ribosomal RNA". It matches the Rfam family "Bacterial large subunit ribosomal RNA", at positions 711 to 1334 of the family's 2925-position model. Lineage: Bacteria; Pseudomonadati; Pseudomonadota; Gammaproteobacteria; Enterobacterales; Enterobacteriaceae. The record is from RNAcentral.